Molecule: non-coding RNA, 125 nt
Organism: Triticum aestivum (bread wheat)
Lineage: Eukaryota; Viridiplantae; Streptophyta; Magnoliopsida; Poales; Poaceae
Source: Rfam
CUUAUACUCCCUCCGUCCGGAAAUACUUGUCGGAGUAAUGGAUGUAUCUAUACACAUUUUAGUUCUAGAUACAUCCAUUUUUAUGCAUUUCUCCGACAAGUAUUUCCGGACGGAGGGAGUAUUUC